GACGAAAGGAACGUCAUCCUUUGGAAAGCGUCGCAAUAAGACGCACACGCUGUGCCGCCGCUGUGGCUCCAAGGCCUACCACCUUCAGAAGUCGACCUGUGGCAAAUGUGGCUACCCUGCCAAGCGCAAGAGAAAGUAUAACUGGAGUGCCAAGGCUAAGAGGCGAAACACUACCGGGACUGGUCGGAUGAGGCACCUAAAGAUCGUCUACCGAAGAUUCAGGUACAGUUUUGUUUCCCAGUCAUUGGUCCUUGGUAGUUCUGUUUACUUGUCACUUCCCACUCUUGGUGAAUAAGUAAUCCUCCUGGGGUUGGUUUUUGGCUUGAAACACCCACAUUCGUCCAGACUGUAUGAAUGGUAUCUGAGAGGCAGAUUAUUUGGUUCAGCCCCCACUUCUUCAGAUUUUGCUCAAAUGUUCUGGAUACUAGUCAUCAGUCCUAACAACAUGGGAGACUGGGCCUUGGUGUUCCUUAAAAAUCCAGAAAUCUCAGCCCCCUCUCAGAUUGUGCUGUCGUCUGUAUUUUGACAGUUGCUAUAGUAUUUGUCUUUGUAUUUACACUUUGUUUUGUGGGCUUGCUCUGUGGUGAUUUGCUAGUGUUUAGUAGGCUAGUGGUGUGUUUUAAGUCCAAUUAACCUUCAUGUGCUUCAUAUCACUCAUCUUCUGUAGAAAUGAGUGUUUCUUACCAUUUAGACUUCUAAGUUGAGCAGUUUCAAAGGUUCUGUUAAACGUGGUCGGUGUUUUUCUGUUACUAAAAAAGCAUGCCAGGGCCUGUCCUUUAUAGCAUAAAGAAUAGCUUCAUAAAUAGUUCUUGUGGAAAUUAGAAAGUUAAGCUCAAAAUUGUUGAGACAGUUAACUGUAAUAUAAUGUGGGUGUUUUGAUUGGGGUAAAAUACUAGCUUAUCGAUGAUGUCCUAAAAGUAAAUGUCUGAACAUAUGAAUGCUAUACUGAUUUCAGCAUUUAACUGAGAUAAGCUCAUGAAGGUCUUCUGAUCAAUUUGGAAGUAAUGUUUGGUGUUGCUGCAUUAACUUCUCUUGUCUUUAACAUGGCACAGACAUGGAUUCCGUGAAGGAACAACACCUAAACCCAAGAGGGCAGCUGUUGCAGCAUCCAGUUCAUCUUGAGGAUUUCAAUCGGUCAUAAAAUAAAUGUUCUGGUUUC
RNAcentral lists this long non-coding RNA (1159 nucleotides) under Rattus norvegicus (Norway rat). RNAcentral describes it as "long non-coding RNA NONRATT015054". The stretch from base 895 to 974 matches the Rfam family "Small nucleolar RNA SNORD72". Lineage: Eukaryota; Metazoa; Chordata; Mammalia; Rodentia; Muridae. The record is from RNAcentral.